AGUGAAGCGGCAACAGCUCAAAUUUGAAAUCUGGCCCUCGUGGUCCGAGUUGUAAUUUGUAGAGGAUGCUUUUGGUGCGGUGCCUUCCGAGUUCCCUGGAACGGGACGCCAUAGAGGGUGAGAGCCCCGUCUGGUUGGACGCCAAACCUCUGUAAAGCUCCUUCGACGAGUCGAGUAGUUUGGGAAUGCUGCUCUAAAUGGGAGGUAUAUGUCUUCUAAAGCUAAAUACCGGCCAGAGACCGAUAGCGCACAAGUAGAGUGAUCGAAAGAUGAAAAGCACUUUGAAAAGAGGGUUAAAUAGUACGUGAAAUUGUUGAAAGGGAAGCGUUUGUGACCAGACUUGGGCUUGGUUAAUCAUCCGGCGUUCUCGCCGGUGCACUUUGCCAGCCCAGGCCAGCAUCGGUUCGCUGCGGGGGAGAAAGGCGUCGGGAAUGUAGCUCCUCGGAGUGUUAUAGCCCUUCGCACAAUACCCUGUGGCGGACCGAGGUUCGCGCAUCUGCAAGGAUGCUGGCGUAAUGGUCAUCAACGACCCGUCUUGAAACACGGACCAAGGAGUCGUCUUCGUAUGCGAGUGUUCGGGUGUCAAACCCCUACGCGUAAUGAAAGUGAACGGAGGUGAGAGCUACGGCGCAUCAUCGACCGAUCCUGAAGUUCUCGGAUGGAUUUGAGUAAGAGCAUACGGGGCCGGACCCGAAAGAAGGUGAACUAUGCCUGUAUAGGGUGAAGCCAGAGGAAACUCUGGUGGAGGCUCGCAGCGGUUCUGACGUGCAAAUCGAUCGUCAAAUAUGGGCAUGGGGGCGAAAGACUA
RNAcentral lists this ribosomal RNA (808 nucleotides) under Thyronectria aurigera. Its description in RNAcentral is "eukaryotic LSU rRNA". It matches the Rfam family "Eukaryotic large subunit ribosomal RNA", at positions 92 to 933 of the family's 3401-position model. The record is from RNAcentral. Lineage: Eukaryota; Fungi; Ascomycota; Sordariomycetes; Hypocreales; Nectriaceae.